GCUGGGAGUAGUGGCGCAUGCCUGUAAUCCCAGCUACUUCUGAGGCUGAAGUGGAGGAUCAUUUGAGCCCAGGAGUUAGAGAUCAGCUUGGGCUACACAGCAAGACACUGU
This 111-nucleotide small RNA is filed under the name Marmota monax (woodchuck). Lineage: Eukaryota; Metazoa; Chordata; Mammalia; Rodentia; Sciuridae. The record is from RNAcentral.